UGGUUCUGGCAUCGAUGAAGAACGCAGCGAAAUGCGAUAAGUAGUGUGAAUUGCAGAAUUUAGUGAAUCAUCGAAUCUUUGAACGCACAUUGCGCCCUUCGGUAUUCCGUUGGGCAUGCCUGUUCGAGCGUCAUUUAAACCCUUCAAGCCUGGCUUGGUGUUGGGCGUUUGUCCUGCCUCUGCGUGCGGACUCGCCUCAAAUUCAUUGGCAGCCGGUAGAUUUGGCUUCGCGUGCAGCACAUUGCGCGGCGGUUCCAGCCUACCCUCUCCCAGUAAGCUAUUCUUUAUUUUGACCUCGGAUCAGGUAGGGAUACCCGCUGA
Molecule: unclassified non-coding RNA, 321 nt
Filed under: uncultured fungus
Lineage: Eukaryota; Fungi
Description: partial contains 5.8S ribosomal RNA and internal transcribed spacer 2
Rfam family: 5.8S ribosomal RNA (bases 1-133)
Source: RNAcentral